RNAcentral lists this ribosomal RNA (500 nucleotides) under uncultured bacterium. Its description in RNAcentral is "partial 16S ribosomal RNA". It matches the Rfam family "Bacterial small subunit ribosomal RNA", at positions 30 to 523 of the family's 1533-position model. The record is from RNAcentral.
AUUGAACGCUGGCGGAAUGCUUUACACAUGCAAGUCGAACGGCAGCACGGACUUCGGUCUGGUGGCGAGUGGCGACCGGGUGAGUAAUACAUCGGAACGUGCCCAGUCGUGGGGGAUAACGUAGCGAAAGCUACGCUAAUACCGCAUACGAUCUAAGGAUGAAAGCGGGGGAUCGCAAGACCUUGCGCGAUUGGAGCGGCCGAUGGCAGAUUAGGUAGUUGGUGGGGUAAAGGCCUACCAAGCCGACGAUCUGUAGCUGGUCUGAGAGGACGACCAGCCACACUGGGACUGAGACACGGCCCAGACUCCUACGGGAGGCAGCAGUGGGGAAUUUUGGACAAUGGGCGCAAGCCUGAUCCAGCCAUUCCGCGUGCAGGAUGAAGGCCCUCGGGUUGUAAACUGCUUUUGUACGGAACGAAAAGGCUCUGGUUAAUACCCGGGGCUCAUGACGGUACCGUAAGAAUAAGCACCGGCUAACUACGUGCCAGCCGCCGCGGUAA